This 212-nucleotide long non-coding RNA is filed under the name Ricinus communis (castor bean). Its description in RNAcentral is "long non-coding RNA (RCOM_LNC000229)". Lineage: Eukaryota; Viridiplantae; Streptophyta; Magnoliopsida; Malpighiales; Euphorbiaceae. The record is from RNAcentral.
UGCUUGGCAAUUUUGGUGAUGUGAGAAGAGAUAAGGAGAGUACCUUUUUGAGUAUUUCCAAGGUGAAGGGGAUGAUUAAGAAAGAAUUUUGAAGUUAGGAUCUUCUUACCAUUGAUCAUUAUAUAGAGGAAGAGAAGGUUUUUUGAGGCACUUUAUCACCCCAUUGUCUUUAGCAUGAAUAUUCGAAGCCACCAUCCUAUGCGCUAUCCAAU